Molecule: ribosomal RNA, 2803 nt
Filed under: Escherichia coli
Lineage: Bacteria; Pseudomonadati; Pseudomonadota; Gammaproteobacteria; Enterobacterales; Enterobacteriaceae
Description: bacterial LSU rRNA
Rfam family: Bacterial large subunit ribosomal RNA
Source: RNAcentral
GGGUUGUGAGGUUAAGCGACUAAGCGUACACGGUGGAUGCCCUGGCAGUCAGAGGCGAUGAAGGACGUGCUAAUCUGCGAUAAGCGUCGGUAAGGUGAUAUGAACCGUUAUAACCGGCGAUUUCCGAAUGGGGAAACCCAGUGUGUUUCGACACACUAUCAUUAACUGAAUCCAUAGGUUAAUGAGGCGAACCGGGGGAACUGAAACAUCUAAGUACCCCGAGGAAAAGAAAUCAACCGAGAUUCCCCCAGUAGCGGCGAGCGAACGGGGAGCAGCCCAGAGCCUGAAUCAGUAUGUGUGUUAGUGGAAGCGUCUGGAAAGGCGCGCGAUACAGGGUGACAGCCCCGUACACAAAAAUGCACAUAUUGUGAGCUCGAUGAGUAGGGCGGGACACGUGGUAUCCUGUCUGAAUAUGGGGGGACCAUCCUCCAAGGCUAAAUACUCCUGACUGACCGAUAGUGAACCAGUACCGUGAGGGAAAGGCGAAAAGAACCCCGGCGAGGGGAGUGAAAAAGAACCUGAAACCGUGUACGUACAAGCAGUGGGAGCACGCUUAGGCGUGUGACUGCGUACCUUUUGUAUAAUGGGUCAGCGACUUAUAUUCUGUAGCAAGGUUAACCGAAUAGGGGAGCCGAAGGGAAACCGAGUCUUAACUGGGCGUUAAGUUGCAGGGUAUAGACCCGAAACCCGGUGAUCUAGCCAUGGGCAGGUUGAAGGUUGGGUAACACUAACUGGAGGACCGAACCGACUAAUGUUGAAAAAUUAGCGGAUGACUUGUGGCUGGGGGUGAAAGGCCAAUCAAACCGGGAGAUAGCUGGUUCUCCCCGAAAGCUAUUUAGGUAGCGCCUCGUGAAUUCAUCUCCGGGGGUAGAGCACUGUUUCGGCAAGGGGGUCAUCCCGACUUACCAACCCGAUGCAAACUGCGAAUACCGGAGAAUGUUAUCACGGGAGACACACGGCGGGUGCUAACGUCCGUCGUGAAGAGGGAAACAACCCAGACCGCCAGCUAAGGUCCCAAAGUCAUGGUUAAGUGGGAAACGAUGUGGGAAGGCCCAGACAGCCAGGAUGUUGGCUUAGAAGCAGCCAUCAUUUAAAGAAAGCGUAAUAGCUCACUGGUCGAGUCGGCCUGCGCGGAAGAUGUAACGGGGCUAAACCAUGCACCGAAGCUGCGGCAGCGACACUAUGUGUUGUUGGGUAGGGGAGCGUUCUGUAAGCCUGUGAAGGUGUGCUGUGAGGCAUGCUGGAGGUAUCAGAAGUGCGAAUGCUGACAUAAGUAACGAUAAAGCGGGUGAAAAGCCCGCUCGCCGGAAGACCAAGGGUUCCUGUCCAACGUUAAUCGGGGCAGGGUGAGUCGACCCCUAAGGCGAGGCCGAAAGGCGUAGUCGAUGGGAAACAGGUUAAUAUUCCUGUACUUGGUGUUACUGCGAAGGGGGGACGGAGAAGGCUAUGUUGGCCGGGCGACGGUUGUCCCGGUUUAAGCGUGUAGGCUGGUUUUCCAGGCAAAUCCGGAAAAUCAAGGCUGAGGCGUGAUGACGAGGCACUACGGUGCUGAAGCAACAAAUGCCCUGCUUCCAGGAAAAGCCUCUAAGCAUCAGGUAACAUCAAAUCGUACCCCAAACCGACACAGGUGGUCAGGUAGAGAAUACCAAGGCGCUUGAGAGAACUCGGGUGAAGGAACUAGGCAAAAUGGUGCCGUAACUUCGGGAGAAGGCACGCUGAUAUGUAGGUGAAGUCCCUCGCGGAUGGAGCUGAAAUCAGUCGAAGAUACCAGCUGGCUGCAACUGUUUAUUAAAAACAAAGCACUGUGCAAACACGAAAGUGGACGUAUACGGUGUGACGCCUGCCCGGUGCCGGAAGGUUAAUUGAUGGGGUUAGCCGCAAGGCGAAGCUCUUGAUCGAAGCCCCGGUAAACGGCGGCCGUAACUAUAACGGUCCUAAGGUAGCGAAAUUCCUUGUCGGGUAAGUUCCGACCUGCACGAAUGGCGUAAUGAUGGCCAGGCUGUCUCCACCCGAGACUCAGUGAAAUUGAACUCGCUGUGAAGAUGCAGUGUACCCGCGGCAAGACGGAAAGACCCCGUGAACCUUUACUAUAGCUUGACACUGAACAUUGAGCCUUGAUGUGUAGGAUAGGUGGGAGGCUUUGAAGUGUGGACGCCAGUCUGCAUGGAGCCGACCUUGAAAUACCACCCUUUAAUGUUUGAUGUUCUAACGUUGACCCGUAAUCCGGGUUGCGGACAGUGUCUGGUGGGUAGUUUGACUGGGGCGGUCUCCUCCUAAAGAGUAACGGAGGAGCACGAAGGUUGGCUAAUCCUGGUCGGACAUCAGGAGGUUAGUGCAAUGGCAUAAGCCAGCUUGACUGCGAGCGUGACGGCGCGAGCAGGUGCGAAAGCAGGUCAUAGUGAUCCGGUGGUUCUGAAUGGAAGGGCCAUCGCUCAACGGAUAAAAGGUACUCCGGGGAUAACAGGCUGAUACCGCCCAAGAGUUCAUAUCGACGGCGGUGUUUGGCACCUCGAUGUCGGCUCAUCACAUCCUGGGGCUGAAGUAGGUCCCAAGGGUAUGGCUGUUCGCCAUUUAAAGUGGUACGCGAGCUGGGUUUAGAACGUCGUGAGACAGUUCGGUCCCUAUCUGCCGUGGGCGCUGGAGAACUGAGGGGGGCUGCUCCUAGUACGAGAGGACCGGAGUGGACGCAUCACUGGUGUUCGGGUUGUCAUGCCAAUGGCACUGCCCGGUAGCUAAAUGCGGAAGAGAUAAGUGCUGAAAGCAUCUAAGCACGAAACUUGCCCCGAGAUGAGUUCUCCCUGAC